GUAACGAAAAUUCUUAAACAAGGGGUUUAUUUAUCGUUUACGUCGAAUUAUUAAACCGUAUAGUCUUAGUUACGUAGUAGUUGUAAAUAUUACCAACGACGUAGCACUAAAGCUUUUAUUUAACGGUUUAGGUCCCAAUUUCAUAAGCGGAACGUUCGAUUAAGACAGCGAAAAUUCUCCGUUACAAGACUAGGUGUGCUGGUGCUGCUGCAUAAUCUCGAGCAUACGGGGACUAGGCUUGGGUAUUUACAUUUAAAGCAUUUUGAAAUAAGUAUUAUUGGUUUUUCUAAGACUUAUAUAUGGUUUGUGGUUUGAAUGAAAGGGGUCAUUGAUGAUUCCCGAGUUGUAUUUAUAUUUUAAUUCCGCUGCAUUUUAGUUUUCAAGUUAAUGUUUUAAGUUAUCGUUAACCUUAUUAUGCCUUGCGUUCCAUCGCGGCGGUAACGCCCCCGAGGUCGACGCGACGCAGCAGUGGUAGGCGCGCGUGGAUUUUGGGGGUGUUACAAAACUGGUAUCAGAGCCGAAGGCUCUGAAUUUCAAAGACGUUUUAAAAA
Long non-coding RNA from Beta vulgaris subsp. vulgaris (sugar beet), 551 nucleotides. RefSeq lists it as uncharacterized. NCBI's taxonomy places the organism in Eukaryota, Viridiplantae, Streptophyta, Magnoliopsida, Caryophyllales, Amaranthaceae. The transcript is spliced from 2 exons. The record is from RefSeq and is a predicted model, not a curated record.